CCUUGCGCUAAAGCUCUUUACCGACGCUGCGCGUUAUUCUGCACGUUAACUCAUUCUGAGUUCAAUCUCGAGUCUAGAUGGUGUUCGAUUACUUUUGUUUUGCCUCGUUCAGCCUGUAGGGGAAUAGCGUGCUUGCCGUCUCCUCGGCCAUUUCAACUUUGGACUUCAACUUUCUAUACAGUUCAGUCCUGAAGCCAGUUCGUUGGUCAACAAAUUGGCCAUCAUCCGGCGGACCCUCACCUCUAGGGUAGUCCCUCCGAUAAUGGCGAGACGGGCAGUCUGGCAAAUGUCUCCUCUGCACGGUCCAGGGCCUCCAUGGUGUGGAGGGGCAGCUCCAAGGAGCCCAGACCCACCGAGUCAGUCUGUCCACACUUGCAGGAGUGGACGUAUUGCCUGAAUUCCUCCCGCAGGUCCUUCACCUCCUAGGACAACUCCGUCACCGCAGUCAGCAGUUUCUGCAUAGCCACAUCUAUUGACAAAGAAAAUAAUAACAUUUGAAUGUAAAAGCUGACGCCCUUUUACUUAAAAAUUUCAGAAAGUGUUGAACAACUUUUGAAGAGUUAUAUAUAUUUAAGCAAUGCCAUUGGUUUAAGCUAAUUGUUGAUAGAUGGUACAUCCUUCAAUGAUUCAAAGAAUUGAGGAAAGAUUUGCACAUGAAUGAAAGCCUAGAAAUAGCCUUAGAACAUAACAUUCCUGUACUUGCCUUUUAAUGCCAUUCUGGCAGUGCCUGGAGAAUCUGUGACAAGUAUGAAGAGAGAAAUUAAACCAUUUGACUGGA
Gadus morhua (Atlantic cod) is the source of this 778-nucleotide long non-coding RNA. RefSeq lists it as uncharacterized. The transcript has 3 exons. NCBI's taxonomy places the organism in Eukaryota, Metazoa, Chordata, Actinopteri, Gadiformes, Gadidae. The record is from RefSeq and is a predicted model, not a curated record.